Long non-coding RNA from Peromyscus eremicus (cactus mouse), 394 nucleotides. RefSeq lists it as uncharacterized. The transcript has 2 exons. Lineage: Eukaryota; Metazoa; Chordata; Mammalia; Rodentia; Cricetidae. The record is from RefSeq and is a predicted model, not a curated record.
AAAACAGUCCAGAAUCUUUGGAGAACCAGAAAUUGAGAGUGAUGCCCGUAUUUCUAAUGAGCCCUCAGUGUUGAGAACUGUAAUUCUACAAUUAUACAGAUCAAAGAUGCUCUAUGGCCCAGUGAGUCUGAAACUUCAACAUGUGUCAGACAGAACUUACUGGCUGGAGUUGUGGUCCUCGGCUGAUAGGCAUGCGAGAGAGAAACACCCAGACACAAAGGAACCCAUGGGGACAUGUGUGACUGUAAGUCUCUAAUUAUCCUUUCUAAUUCUGGAGCCAUGUGACUGGACUUCACACAGCACUGCUGAACCCUGGGGGCCUGAGGCUCCCCAGCUGGACCACUAAGGGAGAGAAUGCUACUCUUCGCUCCUUCAUUAAAAAUAUUGCAUUACA